Long non-coding RNA from Rhinichthys klamathensis goyatoka, 647 nucleotides. RefSeq lists it as uncharacterized. The record is from RefSeq and is a predicted model, not a curated record. The transcript has 3 exons. NCBI's taxonomy places the organism in Eukaryota, Metazoa, Chordata, Actinopteri, Cypriniformes, Leuciscidae.
UUUAGGGUUCCCGUGCGUGGCCGGUUCGAGUGGCCCGCUAUUGUCCCACAGAAGUCCGGAGGGAGGAAGCGCUUCUUUGGGUGGUCUGACAGACCCCCGCGGCCCACAAUAGAGCGGGGCCCAAUUAUGAUGAGGACGUUUUUCUACUUGAAGGUUGUUGAUUUACGGCUCCCAGUUCAACCGCCUGCAAUUACCAGUGAAGCAGCCAUGCGCAUUCAAAGCACUUUCUGUAUUUAAAGUAUGAAGAGUAAAAGCCCAAUUUGAUGUUAAGAUGUCGCUUAUCCCUGUCCUGCUGCUGGAUAACAGAGAGAGGGAGCAGGAUAAGCCAGAAGGGUCAUAGGAUAAGAGGUCUUCUCUGUUACCACAAAUCCCAGAUUACAUCCAAACGGGACAGUGCCAUGGCUGGACACCGAUCUGUCAUGAAGACACGCCCACACACACUCACAGAGGAGUCAUCCAGCGUUCGGCCUCAACCAGCUGAGAGGACAGCAAAGCGGAUGGCAUCUCUCAAAUGUGUGUGUGCACUCUGUCUAAAGGAAACCGCUGGGUUGACAGAGGGAACAUGCUUUCAAAAGCCCUCUGGUAUGCAGAAUAACAGUUUGGGGUUGGAAAGAUUUAUGCAAUGUUUUUGAAAGAAUUCUCUAAUG